AAUCCUCCUCAGAUUACACACUAAAACUCUUCUCAGAUUCAAGUGUGUUUCCAAACAAUGCCUUUCUCUCAUUUCUGCAUCUCCCACACUCGCUACCACCAAACCAUUGGCUUCCUCAGCCCCACCGCUCUUCUUCUUACACUUUACCCUCUGAGUUUGAUGCGGUUCCUCUGAAGCAUAACGGCAGAGUCAGAGUCCCUUUCUUUGAUUAAUUGAAUUCUGCCCCUAGCAUCGAUGUUCUUCAGUCUUGUUAUGGGUUGUUUUUUUGUAAGUCCGAGGUCGGAAACCUUAAAAACGUCAUCUCUAGAGAAUGAACCAUUGACGAUGCCAAUAUCGACUAUGGAAGCACCUCAAAUGUGCAGUUAUAUGGGGGAGUGUCGAGGUGUUUUAUAUGUUUCAGUGACUUCUUUGUCCUUACGAGUUGAGAAUUUGAUGUAUUUGAGAUGGCAAGUGAUUAUUCCCACUGGACCCUAAAGCACCUACUGUAUAUUGGGGAAAUUGAGAGGGGAUUUCCCAGAUAUAACAUGGCCUAUGAUGCUCCUGUGCAUUACCAAAGGUUGUGGUGUGGACAGAGAAUAAAGGAAUUUUGUUUGCCUUCAUGAUGUAAGGUCCGUGAGAUGAUACUUCACUUUAUCAAACUCUGAAUGCCUAUCAGUACGUUGAGAACCUGACUUGUGUUUGAGGUUGUAUCCCCAGUAUCUAAGAAACUAUUUCAUAUAUUAUAGUGUAUUGAAUAACUAGAACUCCUUAAGCCAAUUCAAUAACUAGAAAUAAAGGCUAUUCUAUUUAUGUGUGUAAGCUAAUUGACAUGUAAUCCUACAUAUAUGCA
Molecule: long non-coding RNA, 829 nt
Organism: Gossypium arboreum
Lineage: Eukaryota; Viridiplantae; Streptophyta; Magnoliopsida; Malvales; Malvaceae
Exons: 2
Source: RefSeq, a predicted model, not a curated record